AAUAGAUACCCAGGUAGUCCACGCCGUAAACGAUGAGUGCUAAGUGUUAGGGGGUUUCCGCCCCUUAGUGCUGCAGCUAACGCAUUAAGCACUCCGCCUGGGGAGUACGGUCGCAAGACUGAAACUCAAAGGAAUUGACGGGGGCCCGCACAAGCGGUGGAGCAUGUGGUUUAAUUCGAAGCAACGCGAAAAACCUUACCAGGUCUUGACAUCCCACUGACCGCUAUGGAGACAUAGUUUUCCCUUCGGGGACAGUGGUGACAGGUGGUGCAUGGUUGUCGUCAGCUCGUGUCGUGAGAUGUUGGGUUAAGUCCCGCAACGAGCGCAACCCUUGAUCUUAGUUGCCAUCAUUUAGUUGGGCACUCUAAGGUGACUGCCGGUGACAAACCGGAGGAAGGUGGGGAUGACGUCAAAUCAUCAUGCCCCUUAUGACCUGGGCUACACACGUGCUACAAUGGACGGUACAAACGGUUGCCAACCCGCGAGGGGGAGCUAAUCCGAUAAAACCGUUCUCAGUUCGGAUUGUAGGCUGCAACUCGCCUAC
This 544-nucleotide ribosomal RNA is filed under the name uncultured bacterium. Its description in RNAcentral is "bacterial SSU rRNA". It matches the Rfam family "Bacterial small subunit ribosomal RNA", at positions 777 to 1319 of the family's 1533-position model. The record is from RNAcentral.